This 482-nucleotide ribosomal RNA is filed under the name uncultured bacterium. RNAcentral describes it as "partial 16S ribosomal RNA". It matches the Rfam family "Bacterial small subunit ribosomal RNA", at positions 28 to 507 of the family's 1533-position model. The record is from RNAcentral.
GACGAACGCUGGCGGCGUGCUUAACACAUGCAAGUCGAACGAUGAAGAAGAGAAACGCGAACUUCGGUUCAAAUUUCACUUCGGAUUAGUGGCAGACGGGUGAGUAACGCGUGAGCAACCUACCUCUUACAAAGGGAUAGCCUCGGGAAACCGUGAUUAAUACCAUAUGACACAUUCAUAAGGCAUCUUAAGAAUGUUAAAGCUACGGCGGUAAGAGAUGGGCUCGCGUCCCAUUAGCUAGUUGGUGAGGUAACGGCCCACCAAGGCGACGAUGGGUAACCGGCCUGAGAGGGUGAACGGUCACAUUGGAACUGAGACACGGUCCAAACUCCUACGGGAGGCAGCAGUGGGGAAUAUUGCACAAUGGAGGGAACUCUGAUGCAGCGACGCCGCGUGAGCGAUGAAGGAAUUUGUUUCGUAAAGCUCUGUUCUAUGGGAAGAAAAGGACUGUACCAUAGGAGAAAGCCCCGGCUAAAUACGUG